AACCUAUGUUGUAUUAGAUUACUACGACAUCCCGAAACUCAAAAGCUUAAAGGACAAAACUGCAAAAAUGACAACAAUGUACCAACAAUCUGGUAAAGCAAGAUUUGACCAAGGUUUCUUGAAUAUGACAGCUAAAGAUGGUAGUUUUGUAUUUGGAUCAGCUGUCAAAGACGCUCAACGCGAUUCAAGGCUCGAAAAAUCUGUUAUGAAUCAGCCUUAUAACAUCUCAGUUCUUGGAAUUUCUCAGCCAUUUGUUACACCUGGACUUGAUGGAACACUUGCACCAGUUUCAACACCACCACCUAAGGCUAAUAAUGCAACAUCUUCACCUAAGAGUUCACCACCUGCUUCUGAUGAUGAAGCAGAGUCCCCUGCUGAAGAAGCAGAGUCCCCUGUUUCUGAAGAAACAGAGGCCCUUGCUCCUUCUAAGGAUGCCGAUACUUCGGCUAGUUCGCCCUCGGCUGAUUCGCCACCGGCUGACGCUCAGGCGCCACCACCGGCAGGAUCAUCUGCUGGGAAAUUGAAGGUUUCCUUUGGUUCGUUUGUUGUUUUGGCAUCAAUGGUUGCAGCUUUUUAAAAAGGGAGUUUUGUGAGGAUGUCCAAGAUUCUUGGAUUGUAGAGAGGAAAAAAUAAAUGAUGGAGUACAUCUUAUGUACAAGACUUUUAGAUGUUAAAACAAUAUGAUUUUCGAAAUAUAUAAGAAGUGUAUACCUUUAUCCAUAGAUGAUCUCUCUUUACGUUGUAAUAACAACAACAAUAAUAAAUACAGCGAAAUCUCACAAAUAAAAUCUGGGAAGAAUAGUGAGUUCGUAGACCUUAUAUCCUAGGAAGGUAGAGGCUGUUAUGCUGAACAACAAUAGUCUUUUCAUCUUGCUCUCUUCUUUAUUCCUUUAGUUAAUUAUAUGUGAGGAAACGUAAUAUUCCCUCCGUUAGUCUCAUUUUAUGUGAUCAUAUUUGAUUGGAAACAUAGCGAAGCAAGAAAUAAAUAUUUUCAAAUUCAUU
This 1002-nucleotide long non-coding RNA is filed under the name Nicotiana tabacum (common tobacco). RNAcentral's name for it is "long non-coding RNA (NTAB_LNC004967)". The record is from RNAcentral. Lineage: Eukaryota; Viridiplantae; Streptophyta; Magnoliopsida; Solanales; Solanaceae.